This 1020-nucleotide long non-coding RNA is filed under the name Brachypodium distachyon (stiff brome). RNAcentral's name for it is "long non-coding RNA (BDIS_LNC002444)". The record is from RNAcentral. Lineage: Eukaryota; Viridiplantae; Streptophyta; Magnoliopsida; Poales; Poaceae.
AACUCUGUGUGCUAGUGAGUCGAUCCAAGGACUAGCACAGUAAGCACAGAGAUCGAACCCUAGUAAGGGGGAGGAUCGCUUCACCAUGUUUGAUCCUUGAUGAACUGCCACUACCCUCAUAAGAGGUGCGCGGCUUCUGGUGUGGUCCAGUGUUAAUGCUUCCAUGGCUAUGUCUUCUCUUGCGGCCCUCAAUCUCGUUAUCUUGUCUUACUAGAUAAAGGCCUUGUCUACCAGAGACUGAUAGGUGGGGGUGUAAGAAACUGACAGCUGAACGGAAAGCUCGUCGUUCAGUCCAUCCAAAAACUUCUCGCGGCGCUUGGCAUCGGUAUUGACUUCAUCAGGUGCAUAGCGAGACAGCUUGUUGAAUUUCUCAAUAAAUUCCAUCACGUUGCGGGUUCCUUGCUUCAGUUUGUGGAACUCCUUCUUCCUUAGGUUUAGCACUCCCACGAAGAUAUGGGCGGUGCGGAAAGCUGUAACAUCCCAAAAUUUCAAACUUUUACAUGUGCAUUGCAUUCAUGAACAUCAUGCCACAAUUGCAUAGUUGAAUUCAAAAUUGAAUCUCAAAAGGGCUUUAAAAGACUUUGUUUACACCCAUUUAAGCUUUGGAUUUUCAAACCAAUAGGGUUUAUGUAUAAAAGGGGUUUAAUGCAUAUAUAAGCUAUCCCAUAUUUGUUUUGGAUAAUUAUUUGGAGUUGAAAAAGUAUUUUAUUUAAAUGGAGAUAUAACCCUAAGGGCAUUUAUAGGGCAAAUGUAUUUUUAUAUAUGUUAUUUUGAAGAGAAACUACUUCCAAAAGUUGUAUCAUGGUAGAACAUGAUUUUAUAAAUUUUCUGGAAUUCAUUUGGACCAAUUUGGAGUUCAAACUCAAAAGAUAUCAAAGAAAUGGGAAAAAUAGAAAAAGAAAAGGUCUAAAAGAAAAAAAAGGGUAAACGGACCGGCCCGGCCAACUUGGGCCGAACCGACCCAACUCCCCCGAGCGCGCCACCACCCAGCUGGCCCUGCCGACCGCUCGCGCGCGCCCG